RNAcentral lists this long non-coding RNA (1116 nucleotides) under Struthio camelus australis. RNAcentral describes it as "lncRNA (ENSSCUG00000000642.1)". Lineage: Eukaryota; Metazoa; Chordata; Aves; Struthioniformes; Struthionidae. The record is from RNAcentral.
AACAACUAACGCUGGGUGCUGUUGCCUCUCCGUGGCCCUGCAGGAAAUCCGCAAGCGCCUCAGGACGUGGGAUGUGGGCUACUUCUGGAACGACUUGUACUUGAGGGAGGUGUACAUCAAGCAAAUUAAGCAGCAGUGCUUGAAGGGCAAGCCUCAUCCCUGGAAAGGAGAGACCACUGCGGAAGACGCUGCUCUGGACGUGCAGGAUCUGUUCCUGGAGGAAAGGCAAAGGCUGGAGAGCAUUGAAGAGAUGCGGAACCGCUACAAUUUGGGCCCUCCGGUGCCCAGGGUUCCCCAUCCUCCAGACGAGCCCGGGAGACAGGAGCCGGAGGUGCAGGGCGAGCAACUGGCCUCUCGAGCGAGGAGAGUGUCAGUCCUGCUGCGGAGAGCCCAGCAAGAGUAAGCACGCCCAGCUGCGGGCGGGCAAAGGCCUCGCACGCGCCAGCGCCCAGAGCCCCACACGCGGCACCUCCUCUUUCCCGCUCCCUCAGCUCUGGCGUUGGGGCGGCAUCCCCUCGCUUCUGGGCGACUCCCAAGCACCCGGCCGACACCUUCCCUCCGGCCCUCUCGCUGCUGCCCAAACGUGAAGGCCCAAAGCCCUCCGCGGGCACAAGGGGCUCCGGGUACCCAAGCGACCACCGGGGCUCCGGCUGCGGGACGGCAGCGGCAGCAGGCUUGGCAGUCUGGCGCCUGAGUCGCCCACCGCUGCCGUCCCCACGGGAGGUGCUGGGCACGCCGGAGGAGAUGGGAAGCUGCGAGGUGGCAUCAUCAGGACCGGCCUGAGCACGGCCGGCACGAUUCCUCUGAUUCUCUGCUCACGCUCAGCCCCUUCCCGUCGAACUCUGCAGCCCUCAGGAGACACCUCGCCUCCUGGAAAAGAGGGACAGCUACCGCUGAUCACCCGCCGCGCUCCUACGCUCUGCAGCUUCUUCACUCCCAUUAAACCGUGUUUCCACAUACUGUGACACUUUGUUGGAGGGGCUGUGGGGCGGGCAAUUUGCAGCGUGGGUGCUUUGGAGGGGAAUUAAAGGGCAGCUCAGGAGACGGGGACGGAGCACCCACUUUGUGCACACAUCCAGACAGCUCUGCACGCCCAGGUGCCCACACUCGUGCGUG